Beta vulgaris subsp. vulgaris (sugar beet) is the source of this 2853-nucleotide RNA transcript. RefSeq lists it as hypothetical. The transcript has 6 exons. Lineage: Eukaryota; Viridiplantae; Streptophyta; Magnoliopsida; Caryophyllales; Amaranthaceae. The record is from RefSeq and is a predicted model, not a curated record.
UCAAGAAAUCGGGUACUUCUGUAUGCCAACCACUUGUUGAGAAAUUUUUUCGUCAAGUUGCGAGAGAACAUAUUUCUCCAUAUAUCAUAAUCAUCCGUCCUGAGGAACCGGUUGUUUUCAUUGACGUGGAAUCAUCCAUCUUUGCAUUCCAUCUUUUUAAUGGUACUGUUGAAAAGAUUGCUGAGCCUUCUAAGGAAGAUAUUGUUUUGGUGGGUACUGCCUUCAUAUAUUCUCCAUGCUUUGCCUCAUUGAAGCGUCUAAAGCCAACAAAUCCAGAUCGUUGUGAUCAAUCUAGUUGACCGAGGAUGUUGUCUGAUACUUCUGAAGAGGACAACAAAGGCAACUGAAGAAGACUGAUGCAUGAGUAUUCCUGAUAUAGCAUUCUAGACUUGCUGGUCCAAACUAUUUUGAAGGCGCACCUUCAUUUUUAUGAAGACAUUGAAUUAUCAUCUAAUUAUACUAUAUUUGUUUGAACUUUUUUGAUAUUAUGCAUUUUUAUAUAUCCAAGACCCGUUGAGAUUGGACUCUGUUAAUGUAAUAUGGUGAAUAUGUGAUUUUUUUUCCUUCACAAUUGAUUGGCCUGGAGAUGCUUUUCUUGGACCAACAGUCUUAGUUCUUAAUGUCUAAUCAUAGGCAUUCCCAUGAAGAGUUUGAAACUUGAAAGUGAUGCUCAUCCUUAUUCUUGAAUGUUGCCUAGUAUCUGUUUCUUCUUUGGUUGCUGAUAUGCUCUUUUGCGCUGUUACAACCAUCUUUCCUUCUCUUGUUUCUUGGAUUAGUUUUUACCCAUUUAGUUCUCGUGAUUGGUUCAUGGUUUACAUCAAUUUUAUUGUUUGGUUACUAUUCUUUAUGGACUACCUAAUUAUCAUGCUACCUAAUUUUUUUGACAUAUCCUGUCUAACAAAGACAUUCUACUAGAUAUUUGGACUGCUUCACAAACAACAUUGGUAUGAAUUUAAGAUGCCAAACCUACGCACAAAUUAAAGAUGCUUGGGAUUUUAGGAAGGCAGAGCUGACUGGCUUGCCCUUUGAGAUAAUGCUGAUAAAAUGAGUGAGUUAUUUUUGGGAAGUGUGCAAAAAAAAACUGUCAGUCAGGUUAUAUAACCUUUGCUACCAUGAUACAAGAAAAAAAUGCCAAGGGGAUGGCUGAAGCUGCAGAAAAAAUCGAGGCAAAGAUGCUGUCCAUGCAAAACUGCUGAGAUUCCCUGUGAUUUAAACUCAACCUCAGCUGCUCGGGUGCUAUUGUAUGUUUCUCCUGGUAACUACCUUGGGGAAUUGUUAGCAAGCUCACAUGGCUCACAGUGUGGAUUUUGUACUCCUGGAUUUGUCAUGUCCAUGUAUGCUUUACUAAGGUCUAGUCAAACUCCUCCAAUUGAGCAGCAAAUUGAGAAGGCUGGCAGGGAACUUGUGUCGCUGCACAGGUUAUAGGCCAAUUAUCGAUGCCUUUAGAGUUUUUGCUAAAACUGAUGACAUGAUAUACACAGUUGGUAACUCGGCAAAGCCAACAAGGCAACGAGUUUAUUUGUCCUUCAACUGGUAAACCCUGCUCAUGUGGUCAAAAGUCUGAUGGGAACACUGGCGAUAUGAAGGAAAGCGGGGCUUGCAGUGAAAGGUACAAACAGCUUUCUUACAGUGAUGUUGAUGGUAGCAAAUACAAUGAUCGAGAGCUUAUUUUUCCUCCUGAACUAUUGCUAAGGAGAUCUUCUUUUUUGAGUUUGAGUGGAUUUAAUGGACUUAAGUGGUACAGACCUUUGUCACUUCAACUUCUCCUUGAGUCAAAAUCCAAAUAUCCAGAUGCAAGGUUGGUGAUUGGUAACACUGAGGUUGGAAUUGAAAUGAGGUUGAAGAGAAUGCAGUAUAAAGCUCUUGUAUCAGUUGCACAGGUACCUGAGUUAAAUAUUUUAAAUGUGAAAGAUGAUGGAUUGGACAUAGGAGCUGCUGUGCGAAUGUCUGAGCUUCUAAGUGUUUUGAGGGGAGUUUCUGUAGAGCGUGCUACUCAUGAAAUAUCAACCUGUACUGCUUUCGUUGAGCAAAUAAAGUGGUUUGCUGGAACUCAGAUUAGAAAUGUUGCAUCUGUAGGUGGGAAUAUAUGCACUGCUAGUCCUAUAUCAGAUUUGAAUCCUCUUUGGAUGGCAGCUGGAGCAAAGUUUCAAAUCAUUGAUAGCAAGGGAAACAUUAGAACAGUGUUGGCAGAAGAUUUUUUCCUUGGUUAUCGCAAUAGCUUCGUUAAACUUGAGAUGAGCUCUAUUCAUCGUCCCAAAAAUACUUAAAAUCGUCCAAAAAAAAGUUGAAAUUACAUCUCUAGUCUUUUCCUUCCUUUUCCCUAAACCACCACCACCUACGUAUACGAAAUUCUACUACAGAUGAAUUAUCACAGAAUCUGACAUAUUCUCAUCCUAACAAGAAAAUGCACUCGCAAUUGGUAGAUUUAAGUGGCACAUACGAUACACCAAUUGGCUAUGAAAAAUUUCGAGAACCUAUGGACACACACUACACAGUGAUGAUAAUGAACCAGAACCCAAAGUUGUAAGGAGGGGAAGACUGCCAACGAAGAAUUCAAUUCAAAGAGACCAACAGGCAACAGGUAGACCUCCACUAGAGAGGGGCUACCUCUGACUUUCCUGAACAACUGCUGGUGGAACUACAAAUCCAUCUACAACAGUAACAACUUUUACUUCUGUGUUUUUAUCAGUUAUGAAGAAAGUUUUGUUGCGUUUAUACAGCUCAAAAUAGUAACAGCAACUACAACAGUAACAACGUUUACUUCUACUAUCUAGAAUUCUGAAAGUGAUAUAAGGUCUACAACUUGUGUUACCUUCCUUUUUCAUGUUACCUUAUAGAUCAUUAUUCAAGUAA